This 574-nucleotide long non-coding RNA is filed under the name Monodelphis domestica (gray short-tailed opossum). RNAcentral describes it as "lncRNA (ENSMODG00000035639.2)". The record is from RNAcentral. Lineage: Eukaryota; Metazoa; Chordata; Mammalia; Didelphimorphia; Didelphidae.
CUGGAAAUAGGUAGCCUGUCUGCUUUUGGAAAAGGAAGUCUGCUGUUUCCUCACCCUGAAGGAAAAGGAAAGGGGAGAAUUUCAUAAGGAAAAGGGAAAAGUGAGCAAGUACACAUAGGUUUGAAAUGAAUGUUUGUUCAUGAGGGUACCACUAAGUCCUCUGAAAAAUAUUCCAAGGCUCCUGGUGAUCUUUACUAGGUAAAGUCUAAUAGAGAAACUUAACAAGGAAUGUACCUCCUGAAGAGGAAUCUAGAAGACACACCAUGGGUGAGAAACGAAUCCAGAUUGCAGGACAUUAAGGAAAAACCUAUAAACAUUUAUAUGGAAUGGGAGACAACAGCCAAGAGGAAAAUAAUGGACUAAAGAAACUGAGAUUGUACAUAUUUUGAAGGAGAAAGGUACUAUGGAAAAUCAGAGGGGAUAGUUUUGAGAACUCAUACUUAGCCUUAAGAAAAAUAUACAUUUCUUCAUGAUUUUACAUUUAAUACAACUUACAAAUAUGUACUCAUUAGAGUUAUAAUGAAAAAAUUUAAUUGUACAAUAUAAAAAGUGUGGUACAUAGCAAAUAAACUGU